Molecule: small RNA, 211 nt
Filed under: Arabidopsis thaliana (thale cress)
Lineage: Eukaryota; Viridiplantae; Streptophyta; Magnoliopsida; Brassicales; Brassicaceae
Description: ATSL151520
Source: RNAcentral
AAAUAUUAUCUUAAGGAGAUUAGCAAAACUACCUUUUUUACUACUUUUUUGCAACAAUACCUCUUUAUGUUGUCCAUUUUACAAAAUAUCUCUUUCCUUGAACAGAAUGACCGAAUUACUCUCAUCUAAUAGGAACAUGUAAUUGGAAACUGAAAUUUUUCCGCCAAACUUUUUUUCUGCCAAAAAACAAAUUUCCCGCCAAUUUGUUUUU